CCCUUAGACACUCUCGGCGGCACGCGCGCUACAAUGGGUGGAAGAACGUGUUACUGCCUCCGAAAGGAGGGGUGAAUCACGAAUUCUUGCCCGUGAAUGGGAUAGUUUGUUGCAAUUUUCGGACUUGAACUAGGAAUCCCUUGUAAACAUGCUCAAGAAUAGCGUGUUGAAUACGUCCCUGCCGUUUGUACACACCGCCCGUCGUUUCUUCCGACUGAUACUCAUUGUGAGUUGCAAGGACCCUUUAUUGGGAAAUUGCUGCAAAUGCUUUGUAUUGGAGGAAGAAAAAGUCGUAACA
RNAcentral lists this ribosomal RNA (298 nucleotides) under uncultured eukaryote. RNAcentral's name for it is "partial 18S ribosomal RNA". It matches the Rfam family "Eukaryotic small subunit ribosomal RNA", at positions 1470 to 1796 of the family's 1831-position model. The record is from RNAcentral.